UGAGGAAUAUUGGUCAAUGGACGAGAGUCUGAACCAGCCAAGUAGCGUGCAGGAUGACGGCCCUCCGGGUUGUAAACUGCUUUUAGUUGGGAAUAAAAAAGGUGACGUGUCAUCUAUUGUAUGUACCAUCAGAAAAAGGACCGGCUAAUUCCGUGCCAGCAGCCGCGGUAAUACGGAAGGUCCAGGCGUUAUCCGGAUUUAUUGGGUUUAAAGGGAGCGUAGGCGGAUUUUAAGUCAGUUGUGAAAGUUUGAGGCUCAACCUUAAAAUUGCAGUUGAAACUGGAAGUCUUGAGUGCACGCAGAGGUGCCGGAAUUCAUGGUGUAGCGGUGAAAUGCUUAGAUAUCAUGAAGAACUCCGAUCGCGAAGGCAAGUGCCUGGAGUGCUACUGACGCUGAGGCUCGAAAGUGCGGGUAUCAAACAGGAUUAGAUACCC
Molecule: ribosomal RNA, 434 nt
Filed under: uncultured Prevotellaceae bacterium
Lineage: Bacteria; Pseudomonadati; Bacteroidota; Bacteroidia; Bacteroidales; Prevotellaceae
Description: bacterial SSU rRNA
Rfam family: Bacterial small subunit ribosomal RNA
Source: RNAcentral